This 482-nucleotide ribosomal RNA is filed under the name uncultured bacterium. RNAcentral's name for it is "partial 16S ribosomal RNA". It matches the Rfam family "Bacterial small subunit ribosomal RNA", at positions 30 to 507 of the family's 1533-position model. The record is from RNAcentral.
AUUGGACGCUGGCGGCAUGCCUUACACAUGCAAGUCGAACGGUAACGGGCCUUCGGGUGCCGACGAGUGGCGAACGGGUGAGUAAUACAUCGGAACGUGCCCGAUCGUGGGGGAUAACGAGGCGAAAGCUUUGCUAAUACCGCAUACGAUCUACGGAUGAAAGCAGGGGACCGCAAGGCCUUGCGCGGACGGAGCGGCCGAUGGCAGAUUAGGUAGUUGGUGGGAUAAAAGCUUACCAAGCCGACGAUCUGUAGCUGGUCUGAGAGGAUGAUCAGCCACACUGGGACUGAGACACGGCCCAGACUCCUACGGGAGGCAGCAGUGGGGAAUUUUGGACAAUGGGCGCAAGCCUGAUCCAGCAAUGCCGCGUGCAGGAUGAAGGCCUUCGGGUUGUAAACUGCUUUUGUACGGAACGAAAAGCCUUCUUUUAAUACAGGAGGGUCAUGACGGUACCGUAAGAAUAAGCACCGGCUAACUACGUG